ACGGUGGGGUAACGGCCCACCGUGGCGAUGAUGGGUAGCCGGCCUGAGAGGGUGGACGGCCACAUUGGAACUGAGACACGGUCCAGACUCCUACGGGAGGCAGCAGCUAAGAAUCUUCCGCAAUGGGCGAAAGCCUGACGGAGCGACGCCGCGUGAACGAAGAAGGCCGUGAGGUUGUAAAGUUCUUUUCGGGAGGGGGAACGAGGCUGCCAGGCAAUGGGCGGCCGAUGACGUGAAUCCCGGAAUAAGCCCCGGCUAACUACGUGCCAGCAGCCGCGGUAACACGUAGGGGGCGAGCGUUGUUCGGAAUCAUUGGGCGUAAAGGGCGUGCAGGCGGCCGCCAAAGUCCGGCGUGAAAGACCCAGGCUCAACCUGGGGGGUGCGCCGGAUACUGGGCGGCUUGAGUACAGGAGGGGACGGCGGAAUUCCAGGUGUAGGGGUGAAAUCUGUAGAUAUCUGGAGGAACACCGAUGGCGAAGGCAGCCGUCUGGCCAUGUACUGACGCUGAGGCGCGAAGGUGCGGGGAGCAAACAGGUUUAGAUACCCUGGUAGUCCGCACAGUAAACGAUGUGCACCAGGCGGCGGGGGCAACCUCGCUGCCGCA
Molecule: ribosomal RNA, 604 nt
Filed under: uncultured bacterium
Lineage: Bacteria
Description: bacterial SSU rRNA
Rfam family: Bacterial small subunit ribosomal RNA
Source: RNAcentral